UCCAUAGCCAAUUUCUACAUCAAGAUCAUCAUCUAUUCGGAAUUUUUGGUGAAAGAUUUGAGUAGAGGAUCAAAAUCCUUCUUGCAAAAAGUACUUCAACCAAGAGGUUGUUGUUAUGCUACAGCUUCAGAAGACACUUGAACAAGGGCAUGGGCAGUUACUUCAACUUCUGUUGUCCGGCUACUUUCAAUUAGCUCUUGCAAUUGGCAGGUACUACAACUUCUGCAACAGAAACUUUGUGUUCUUCAGCAACAGCUUUCCCUCUCUCAUUUAUUUUCGCAACAGCCUAUUGAUAAACCUCUUGAUGAACCUGUCCACUAGCAUGUUGAUCAUCAUUGUCAUCACUAUAAUGAGAAGUGAUGUUUGCAACUUCAUUCCAACGAGCACCAUCCAGUGGAGUUGGAGUUAAUUCGAGGCUGAAACUUGGCAUAUCAGACACCUCCUUGCCAUACUCAUGCCUUCUUUGUAUAGAAAAGUGUAACACCCCCAUUUUUCAAGACCAAUUUUUUUUAA
Long non-coding RNA from Ipomoea triloba (trilobed morning glory), 513 nucleotides. RefSeq lists it as uncharacterized. The record is from RefSeq and is a predicted model, not a curated record. Lineage: Eukaryota; Viridiplantae; Streptophyta; Magnoliopsida; Solanales; Convolvulaceae. The transcript has 3 exons.